AGACAGCAGCAGCCACGGUAAUACGUAGGGGGCAAGCGUUGUCCGGAAUUAUUGGGCGUAAAGCGCGCGCAGGCGGUCAUUUAAGUCUGGUGUUUAAUCCCGGGGCUCAACCCCGGAUCGCACUGGAAACUGGGUGACUUGAGUGCAGAAGAGGAGAGUGGAAUUCCACGUGUAGCGGUGAAAUGCGUAGAUAUGUGGAGGAACACCAGUGGCGAAGGCGACUCUCUGGGCUGUAACUGACGCUGAGGCGCGAAAGCGUGGGGAGCAAACAGGAUUAGAUACCCCCGUAGUCCCUGUCUCUUAUACA
This 307-nucleotide ribosomal RNA is filed under the name uncultured bacterium. RNAcentral describes it as "partial 16S ribosomal RNA". It matches the Rfam family "Bacterial small subunit ribosomal RNA", at positions 506 to 808 of the family's 1533-position model. The record is from RNAcentral.